Molecule: long non-coding RNA, 987 nt
Organism: Poecile atricapillus (Black-capped chickadee)
Lineage: Eukaryota; Metazoa; Chordata; Aves; Passeriformes; Paridae
Exons: 3
Source: RefSeq, a predicted model, not a curated record
AGAAAGCAAUCCCUUUCAGUUUCAGGGGCUGCAACGGCAGAAGCAGAUGGGCUGCAAGGCCAGCCCUGCCAAGAUGUGGCCUUUCCUUCCUGCAGCACCAAAAGUGUAAUUGGCAACCACUCUGCAGCCACACCCGCUGCUCACACACUUUCGUUCACCACCCCUUCCUGCAGCAUUCAGAGCAAGUCAUCUGGUUUUUAAACACCCCGGGAAAAUGCUCCAGCCUAGGGGCGUGCGGGUUGCUGUAGAGCUCUGUACAGUUUUAGUUUACCCAAAAAAUCCCAAAUUGAGAAUCCUUUGCUGUGAUAGAAAUGCUGGUUCUGUUCCACUUAUUCUGUUUCUCCAAAUACAAGCCAGGUUAAAUAUCCAGACUUCAUUUCUUCAUCUUUCCCAGCCAGAAAAUUCACCCCUGAACAGACUAAAUCUAAGGGUAUUUUAAAUCUGCCAAACUUAGAAAAAACACAACACAAAAAAGUGUUUUCUUCUUGAAAACUAUGCUGCUUUCUGGCCUGGUUGGAUAUCUGAUAUUCUCCUUCCUAUUAUUUUGGAAAAGUGCUCACAUUUGAGAGGGAAAGCACUCCCAGGUUUAUUAAAAUUAUCUGAGCCCCUCUUGUGGGAGCCCUUUUCUCCUGUUCCUUUCCCAGUAACUCUUUUUUUUCAGGACUGAGCUUCCCUGCCACUCCACUUGAAGACAGAACAGUACAAACCUCUUGCCUCACAGUUUCAGAGUGUGCGUUACAGGGAGGGAAAGAAGGGAAAAGCUGUCCUCCCUGGAAGAAAGGAAGGAGCUAGCACUGGAGUAGGACACAGGAGACCACUUCUGUUGCUGAUCUGUCAUCCAUCUGCAUGUCUGCUAUAGCUUUUUCUCCUGCAUUUGGACACCAAGAGACCGAAUCCACUCCAGGGAUCGAAAGCUGAACCGGGAGAAGCUGUAUGAGGGCAACACCUGAGUUGACUUCGCGUCAGCACUAGAACAAACAGGUUCUG